AAACGUUCUCAGGGCGGGGUGUAAGUCCCCACCGGCGGUAAAGUCUUAGACUCAGCCCGCGAGCGCUUGCUUCCCCAGCAAGGUCAGCAGAUUUGGUGAAAAGCCAAAGCCGACGGUUAUAGUCCGGAUGAGAGAGAGCGGGA
This is a regulatory RNA element of 143 nucleotides. It matches the Rfam family "FMN riboswitch aptamer (RFN element)". Rfam says of the family: The RFN element is a highly conserved domain that is found frequently in the 5'-untranslated regions of prokaryotic mRNAs that encode for flavin mononucleotide (FMN) biosynthesis and transport proteins. The record is from Rfam.